CCCUUAGAUGUUCUGGGCCGCACGCGUGCUACACUGAUUAUUUCAACAAGUGUUUUAACUGGAGAGUUUGCGUAAUCCUGAAAUGCUAUCGUGAUGGGAGUAGAGUAUUGUAUUUGUUAAUCUUUAACGAGGAAUUCCUAGUAAGUGUAGGUUUAUAAGUUGUUCUGAUUACGUCCCUGCCCUUUGUACACACCGCCCGUCGCUCCUACCGAUUGAUUGAUCCGGUGAAUUACAUAGAAUUUUGCGUUUUACAUGACGGAAGAUGAAGUGUUUUAAACCUUAUCAUUUAGAGGAAGGAGAAGUCGUAACA
This 310-nucleotide ribosomal RNA is filed under the name uncultured eukaryote. RNAcentral describes it as "partial 18S ribosomal RNA". It matches the Rfam family "Eukaryotic small subunit ribosomal RNA", at positions 1470 to 1796 of the family's 1831-position model. The record is from RNAcentral.